This 467-nucleotide ribosomal RNA is filed under the name uncultured bacterium. RNAcentral describes it as "partial 16S ribosomal RNA". It matches the Rfam family "Bacterial small subunit ribosomal RNA", at positions 28 to 507 of the family's 1533-position model. The record is from RNAcentral.
GACGAACGCUGGCGGCGUGCUUAACACAUGCAAGUCGAACGGAAAGGCCUCUUUCGGGGGGUACUCGAGUGGCGAACGGGUGAGUAACACGUGAGUAACCUGCCCUUGACUUUGGGAUAACUUCAGGAAACUGGGGCUAAUACCGGAUAGGAGCUCCUGCUGCAUGGUGGGGGUUGGAAAGUUUCGGCGGUUGGGGAUGGACUCGCGGCUUAUCAGCUUGUUGGUGGGGUAGUGGCUUACCAAGGCUUUGACGGGUAGCCGGCCUGAGAGGGUGACCGGCCACAUUGGGACUGAGAUACGGCCCAGACUCCUACGGGAGGCAGCAGUGGGGAAUAUUGCACAAUGGGUGGAAGCCUGAUGCAGCAACGCCGUGUGCGGGAUGACGGCCUUCGGGUUGUAAACCGUUUUCGCUCAUGACGAAGCUUUGUGUGACGGUAGUGGGUAAAGAAGCACCGGCUAACUACGUG